Molecule: ribosomal RNA, 233 nt
Filed under: uncultured bacterium
Lineage: Bacteria
Description: partial 16S ribosomal RNA
Rfam family: Bacterial small subunit ribosomal RNA
Source: RNAcentral
UGAGCAAUCUGCCCUUCUCAUCGGAAUAAGCGUUGGAAACGACGUCUAAUGCCGAAUACGACCUCCUUUCGCAUGAUCGGAGGUGGAAAGCUCCGGCGGAGAAGGAUGAGCUCGCGGCCUAUCAGCUAGUUGGUGUGGGUAAUGGCCCACAAGGCGACGGACGGGUAGCCGGCCUGAGAGGGUGACCGGCCACACUGGGACUGAGACACGGCCCAGACUCCGUACGGGAGCAG